CCCAAGGGUUGGGCUGUUCGCCCAUUAAAGCGGUACGCGAGCUGGGUUCAGAACGUCGUGAGACAGUUCGGUCCCUAUCUGUCGUGGGCGCAGGAAAUUUGAGAGGAGCUGUCCUUAGUACGAGAGGACCGGGAUGGACGUACCGCUGGUGCACCAGUUGUUCCGCCAGGAGCAUGGCUGGGUAGCUACGUACGGACGGGAUAAGCGCUGAAAGCAUCUAAGCGUGAAGCCCCCCUCAAGAUGAGAUUUCCCAGCAUGUAAGACCCCUUGAAGACGACGAGGUAGAUAGGUUGGAGGUGGAAGCACGGCAACGUGUGGAGCUGACCAAUACUAAUCGGUCGAGGGCUUAUCCA
RNAcentral lists this ribosomal RNA (353 nucleotides) under Paenibacillus jilunlii. Its description in RNAcentral is "bacterial LSU rRNA". It matches the Rfam family "Bacterial large subunit ribosomal RNA", at positions 2564 to 2925 of the family's 2925-position model. The record is from RNAcentral. Lineage: Bacteria; Bacillati; Bacillota; Bacilli; Caryophanales; Paenibacillaceae.